RNAcentral lists this ribosomal RNA (1164 nucleotides) under Triticum aestivum (bread wheat). RNAcentral describes it as "partial small subunit ribosomal RNA". Lineage: Eukaryota; Viridiplantae; Streptophyta; Magnoliopsida; Poales; Poaceae. The record is from RNAcentral.
AUGUCGCGAUCUUGCUCGUCAUCAGCAUCGGCUUCCGGCACGGCCGACGCAGACGGCGAAUCCCGGCCGGCGGUGGUGUCCCUGGCCCAUCUGCUGCAGGGGCCUGACGCGGCGCCGCCGGACUACCUGACGCUGUCGCUCACGCCCGCCGGGGAAGCAUGGCCACGGCGGAAACAGCCCGGGGAGGUGACGCUGAGGCAUAUAGACGCGCCGCGUGACUACCUGAAGCUCUCGGUCGCGCCACCGGAUGAGGAUGAACCGAGCGCCGUCGCCGGCGAUACGUCGAGCAGCGCGGCGGAAACAACGCUGCCACCCAAGAAGCGAAAGCUUGCGCCUUGUGUUUGCCAUGAAACGGUGGCUAGCAGCUCACGGUCGCUCGCGCUGGCAAUCGUGACCCACGGUGACGACAACGCCUCGCAAUCUACGCCGGAAGCAAUGGGCACGGAGCCCAUCGACGCCGUCCCGCUGCAGGCGGUGUGCUACGGCCAUGCCAGGAUAGCCUCGCACCAGUUCAGGCUGAGCAGCGGUGCCAGAAGGAUCACAACGAACGACGCCGCGUCCACCUCAGGCAGCGCCGUGGCGGCGCCAUUCUCCACUGAGCCGAUUGACGCCGUUCCGCUGCGGGCGGCACCGCGCCGGUACAUCCCUCUCGCCGCCGACGCAGCCCCGACGGAGCCGGCCUGGAUACGCACGACGCUGGGCCUCCCCGCCGGACUGCGCCUCAGCUUCAUCGCCCAGAAGCGCAUCGAGCGCUCGGACCUCGACUUGCAGCAGAGCCGCCUGCUGAUCCCGAGCGGCGACGUGGCCCGGCUCUUCCCGCUCCUCUCCGAGGACGGGCUCCGCGCCGCCAACCUGGACAAGCCCUGGACGAGGCAGAAGCGGCAGGCGUCCGGCAACCACAGCGACAGCAGCGAGGAGAAGAAGGCGAGGGCGCAGGGGAAGAAGCACGGCGGGCUGGUCGUGCCGGUCUACGUCAACCAUGCCGGCGACCGGAUGAAUGCUGAGCUGACGCGAUGGACGUCCAACGGCAACACGGUGCUGAAAUUCGGAAGCCACCGGAGCUUCGUCGACGUGAGUGGGCUACAAGUGAUGGAUGAGAUCCAGAUAUGGGCGUUUCGGCAGGACGACGGUGGUCUCAUGUGUUUGGUGAUCGCCAAGAUAUAG